Molecule: non-coding RNA, 56 nt
Organism: Salmo salar (Atlantic salmon)
Lineage: Eukaryota; Metazoa; Chordata; Actinopteri; Salmoniformes; Salmonidae
Source: Rfam
UGAAUGCACCAAUUGAUAAGUCGCUCUGGAUAAGAGCGUCUGCUAAAUGACUUAAA